GAUGAACGCUGGCGGCGUGCUUAACACAUGCAAGUCGAACGGUGAAGCAGAGCCUGCUCUGUGGAUCAGUGGCGAACGGGUGAGUAACACGUGAGCAACCUGCCCUGGACUCUGGGAUAAGCGCUGGAAACGGCGUCUAAUACUGGAUACGAGACGUGGCCGCAUGGUCAACGUUUGGAAAGAUUUUUUGGUUCAGGAUGGGCUCGCGGCCUAUCAGCUUGUUGGUGAGGUAAUGGCUCACCAAGGCGUCGACGGGUAGCCGGCCUGAGAGGGUGACCGGCCACACUGGGACCGAAACACGGCCCAGACUCCUACGGGAGGCAGCAGUGGGGAAUAUUGGACAAUGGGGGCAACCCUGAUCCAGCAAUGCCGCGUGUGUGAAGAAGGCCUUCGGGUUGUAAAGCACUUUAGGUUGGGAAGAAGGUGUGUUGUUUAAGAGACGAUACAUUUGACGGUACCAACAGAAUAAGCACCGGCUAACUC
RNAcentral lists this ribosomal RNA (483 nucleotides) under uncultured bacterium. RNAcentral describes it as "partial 16S ribosomal RNA". It matches the Rfam family "Bacterial small subunit ribosomal RNA", at positions 28 to 503 of the family's 1533-position model. The record is from RNAcentral.